This 524-nucleotide ribosomal RNA is filed under the name Penicillium sp. 250P. RNAcentral describes it as "eukaryotic LSU rRNA". The stretch from base 160 to 313 matches the Rfam family "5.8S ribosomal RNA". Lineage: Eukaryota; Fungi; Ascomycota; Eurotiomycetes; Eurotiales; Aspergillaceae. The record is from RNAcentral.
UGGGUCCAACCUUCCCCACCCGUGUUUAUUUACCUUGUUGCUUCGGCGAGCCUGCCUUUUGGCUGCCGGGGGACGUCAGUCCCCGGGUCCGUGCUCGCCGGAGACACCUUAGAACUCUGUCUGAAGAUUGUAGUCUGAGAUUAAAUAUAAAUUAUUUAAAACUUUCAACAACGGAUCUCUUGGUUCCGGCAUCGAUGAAGAACGCAGCGAAAUGCGAUACGUAAUGUGAAUUGCAGAAUUCAGUGAAUCAUCGAGUCUUUGAACGCACAUUGCGCCCUCUGGUAUUCCGGAGGGCAUGCCUGUCCGAGCGUCAUUGCUGCCCUCAAGCACGGCUUGUGUGUUGGGCCCCGUCCUCCUUCCGGGGGACGGGUCCGAAAGGCAGCGGCGGCACCGCGUCCGGUCCUCAAGCGUAUGGGGCUUUGUCACUCGCUUUGUAGGCCUGGCCGGCGCUUGCCGAUCAACCAAACUUUUUAUCAGGUUGACCUCGGAUCAGGUAGGGAUACCCGCUGAACUUAAGCAUAUCA